This 246-nucleotide unclassified non-coding RNA is filed under the name uncultured bacterium. RNAcentral describes it as "contains 16S-23S intergenic spacer region". The record is from RNAcentral.
AGUAUGGAGCCUCGGGAAGUUAUUGCAUAGCGCUGUUCGCCAAUUCUCCAUUCCCCAUUUUUUUUCAGAGCCCCAUGAAUGUUAUUGCCUAGCGCUGUUCAUGCAUCCUCCACCUUCGAGUCUGGAGCCCCGCGAAGUUAUUGCGUAGCGCAUUUCGCCAAUUCUCCAUUCUCCACUUUUUUCGGAGCCCCAUGAAUAUUAUUGCCUAGCGCUGUUCAUGCAUCCUCCACCAACGAGUCAGGAGCC